Molecule: long non-coding RNA, 1020 nt
Filed under: Homo sapiens (human)
Lineage: Eukaryota; Metazoa; Chordata; Mammalia; Primates; Hominidae
Description: HSALNT0249144
Source: RNAcentral
GGGUUUUUUGUUUUUUGUUUUUCGUCUAAAACAGCCUACAGAAUCCUGGCCUUGGCUUUCUCACCAGACUUCUGGGAAGGUCAAAUGAGAUAAUAUAUGCAAAAGCACUCUGUCAGUGAAAAGUGCUCUGUUUCUGGUCUAAUAACCCUCCCCAACCCACUCACAGUUCUUCAUUUUCAAAUUCCUUAGUGAGCAGUUGGUUUCGUUGUCUUAAUUUGGGGCAGUAAUGAUUUCUGAGAAGCAGGUGAUUGAUAACGCGCAAAUUCAAAGCCCCUUGGGGGCUGCAUUGUAGCAUGGUGUGGGGAUGGGGAGACAGAGGGCUGGUAGGAUCCCGAAUUCCUAGUUUUUCUCUCCCUCUCCCUUGCUUCUUCAUUUUCUUCCUUCAGGCUUUCUUCCAUUUCUUUCUUCCAUCAAAUAUUUGUGGAGCUGGAACUGGGCUUCACUAUCAUAUUCCAAGGCCCUGUACUGGGAACAGACAAAGAAGCUCCUCCCAGAGACUGGAAGAAUGGUACAAGGUGUGAAAACCAAGGCUUAAAGCAUGCAAGUUAUUUGCCCGAGGUUUUUCAGCCACAAAUGAAGAAGCUGGGUCUGCUCCACACCUGUGAACCAGGCUAUUUCCACCAUAACCUGAACUCAGAUGAGCACCAGCCCAUGGAGAAUAGUCCAGAAGGCUGCCCAUAGCCUUAAAGGACAGUCAGCCUCACAAAAUGAGUGUUAUAUUCUGGAUUAUCAGAAGAGAAAUGUGAGAUGCAGGCAGGUUGAGAAAAUUGCUCCAAGUCACUUCGGGAAUGUGUGCAUGGACAAGGAAGCAGGAAGAUCCCAAGGAAAAAGAAGCAGCAUGAAAAAUGACAAGAAGACUACAACAGAAGUUUCUACGAACUUUGCACACACAGAAGAGGGUUCUUUUAGUUUUAGUCAGGAUAGGAAAAGGACAAAAUAAAAGUGAACAUUUAUUGAGCCAGGCCCUGUCUUCUACUUGUGUUAAUUCGUUUGCUCAGAUCCUCGCAGGAGCUCUGUGAG